GCCGCGUUGGCGUAACCGGGAAUGAAUACCGGCGAUCAGGGUUGCAUCUCUGUGAUCCCGUUGGGGUAGCGUCCGGUCCUGCGACCGGAGAUGCGGGUUCGACUCCCGCACGCGGCA
RNAcentral lists this transfer RNA (117 nucleotides) under Verrucomicrobiota bacterium. Its description in RNAcentral is "Verrucomicrobia bacterium (activated sludge metagenome) tRNA-OTHER". It matches the Rfam family "tRNA". From Rfam's summary of the family: Transfer RNA (tRNA) molecules are approximately 80 nucleotides in length. Their secondary structure includes four short double-helical elements and three loops (D, anti-codon, and T loops). The record is from RNAcentral. Lineage: Bacteria; Pseudomonadati; Verrucomicrobiota.